This 465-nucleotide ribosomal RNA is filed under the name uncultured bacterium. RNAcentral describes it as "partial 16S ribosomal RNA". It matches the Rfam family "Bacterial small subunit ribosomal RNA", at positions 28 to 507 of the family's 1533-position model. The record is from RNAcentral.
GACGAACGCUGGCGGCGUGCUUAACACAUGCAAGUCGAACGGAAAGGCCCUGCUUGCAGGGUACUCGAGUGGCGAACGGGUGAGUAACACGUGGGUGAUCUGCCCUGCACUUCGGGAUAAGCCUGGGAAACUGGGUCUAAUACCGGAUAGGAGCCAUUUUUAGUGUGAUGGUUGGAAAGUUUUUUCGGUGUAGGAUGAGCUCGCGGCCUAUCAGCUUGUUGGUGGGGUAAUGGCCUACCAAGGCGGCGACGGGUAGCCGGCCUGAGAGGGUGGACGGCCACAUUGGGACUGAGAUACGGCCCAGACUCCUACGGGAGGCAGCAGUGGGGAAUAUUGCACAAGGGGCGCAAGCCUGAUGCAGCGACGCCGCGUGGGGGAGGACGGCCUUCGGGUUGUAAACGCCUUUCGCUAGGGACGAAGCUUUUUGUGACGGUACCUAGAUAAGAAGCACCGGCUAACUACGUG